This 414-nucleotide ribosomal RNA is filed under the name uncultured rumen bacterium. RNAcentral's name for it is "bacterial SSU rRNA". It matches the Rfam family "Bacterial small subunit ribosomal RNA", at positions 49 to 446 of the family's 1533-position model. The record is from RNAcentral.
UAACACAUGCAAGUCGAACGAGAAUCACCGGAAGGAGUUUUCGGACAACGGAAGGUGAGGACAGUGGCGGACGGGUGAGUAACGCGUGAGGAACCUGCCUUUCAGAGGGGGACAACAGUUGGAAACGACUGCUAAUACCGCAUAACGCAUAGGUAUCGCAUGGUACUUAUGCCAAAGAUUUAUCGCUGAAAGAUGGCCUCGCGUCUGAUUAGCUGGUUGGUGAGGUAACGGCCCACCAAGGCGACGAUCAGUAGCCGGACUGAGAGGUUGACCGGCCACAUUGGGACUGAGAUACGGCCCAGACUCCUACGGGAGGCAGCAGUGGGGAAUAUUGGGCAAUGGGCGCAAGCCUGACCCAGCAACGCCGCGUGAAGGAAGAAGGCUUUCGGGUUGUAAACUUCUUUUGGCAGGGAA